RNAcentral lists this ribosomal RNA (2231 nucleotides) under Shigella flexneri. RNAcentral describes it as "partial 23S ribosomal RNA". It matches the Rfam family "Bacterial large subunit ribosomal RNA", at positions 729 to 2925 of the family's 2925-position model. Lineage: Bacteria; Pseudomonadati; Pseudomonadota; Gammaproteobacteria; Enterobacterales; Enterobacteriaceae. The record is from RNAcentral.
UCUAGCCAUGGGCAGGUUGAAGGUUGGGUAACACUAACUGGAGGACCGAACCGACUAAUGUUGAAAAAUUAGCGGAUGACUUGUGGCUGGGGGUGAAAGGCCAAUCAAACCGGGAGAUAGCUGGUUCUCCCCGAAAGCUAUUUAGGUAGCGCCUCGUGAAUUCAUCUCCGGGGGUAGAGCACUGUUUCGGCAAGGGGGUCAUCCCGACUUACCAACCCGAUGCAAACUGCGAAUACCGGAGAAUGUUAUCACGGGAGACACACGGCGGGUGCUAACGUCCGUCGUGAAGAGGGAAACAACCCAGACCGCCAGCUAAGGUCCCAAAGUCAUGGUUAAGUGGGAAACGAUGUGGGAAGGCCCAGACAGCCAGGAUGUUGGCUUAGAAGCAGCCAUCAUUUAAAGAAAGCGUAAUAGCUCACUGGUCGAGUCGGCCUGCGCGGAAGAUGUAACGGGGCUAAACCAUGCACCGAAGCUGCGGCAGCGACGCUUAUGCGUUGUUGGGUAGGGGAGCGUUCUGUAAGCCUGUGAAGGUGUGCUGUGAGGUAUGCUGGAGGUAUCAGAAGUGCGAAUGCUGACAUAAGUAACGAUAAAGCGGGUGAAAAGCCCGCUCGCCGGAAGACCAAGGGUUCCUGUCCAACGUUAAUCGGGGCAGGGUGAGUCGACCCCUAAGGCGAGGCCGAAAGGCGUAGUCGAUGGGAAACAGGUUAAUAUUCCUGUACUUGGUGUUACUGCGAAGGGGGGACGGAGAAGGCUAUGUUGGCCGGGCGACGGUUGUCCCGGUUUAAGCGUGUAGGCUGGUUUUCCAGGCAAAUCCGGAAAAUCAAGGCCGAGGCGUGAUGACGAGGCACUACGGUGCUGAAGCAACAAAUGCCCUGCUUCCAGGAAAAGCCUCUAAGCAUCAGGUAACAUCAAAUCGUACCCCAAACCGACACAGGUGGUCAGGUAGAGAAUACCAAGGCGCUUGAGAGAACUCGGGUGAAGGAACUAGGCAAAAUGGUGCCGUAACUUCGGGAGAAGGCACGCUGAUACGUAGGUGAAGCGACUUGCUCGUGGAGCUGAAAUCAGUCGAAGAUACCAGCUGGCUGCAACUGUUUAUUAAAAACACAGCACUGUGCAAACACGAAAGUGGACGUAUACGGUGUGACGCCUGCCCGGUGCCGGAAGGUUAAUUGAUGGGGUUAGCGCAAGCGAAGCUCUUGAUCGAAGCCCCGGUAAACGGCGGCCGUAACUAUAACGGUCCUAAGGUAGCGAAAUUCCUUGUCGGGUAAGUUCCGACCUGCACGAAUGGCGUAAUGAUGGCCAGGCUGUCUCCACCCGAGACUCAGUGAAAUUGAACUCGCUGUGAAGAUGCAGUGUACCCGCGGCAAGACGGAAAGACCCCGUGAACCUUUACUAUAGCUUGACACUGAACAUUGAGCCUUGAUGUGUAGGAUAGGUGGGAGGCUUUGAAGUGUGGACGCCAGUCUGCAUGGAGCCGACCUUGAAAUACCACCCUUUAAUGUUUGAUGUUCUAACGUGGACCCGUGAUCCGGGUUGCGGACAGUGUCUGGUGGGUAGUUUGACUGGGGCGGUCUCCUCCUAAAGAGUAACGGAGGAGCACGAAGGUUGGCUAAUCCUGGUCGGACAUCAGGAGGUUAGUGCAAUGGCAUAAGCCAGCUUGACUGCGAGCGUGACGGCGCGAGCAGGUGCGAAAGCAGGUCAUAGUGAUCCGGUGGUUCUGAAUGGAAGGGCCAUCGCUCAACGGAUAAAAGGUACUCCGGGGAUAACAGGCUGAUACCGCCCAAGAGUUCAUAUCGACGGCGGUGUUUGGCACCUCGAUGUCGGCUCAUCACAUCCUGGGGCUGAAGUAGGUCCCAAGGGUAUGGCUGUUCGCCAUUUAAAGUGGUACGCGAGCUGGGUUUAGAACGUCGUGAGACAGUUCGGUCCCUAUCUGCCGUGGGCGCUGGAGAACUGAGGGGGGCUGCUCCUAGUACGAGAGGACCGGAGUGGACGCAUCACUGGUGUUCGGGUUGUCAUGCCAAUGGCACUGCCCGGUAGCUAAAUGCGGAAGAGAUAAGUGCUGAAAGCAUCUAAGCACGAAACUUGCCCCGAGAUGAGUUCUCCCUGACCCUUUAAGGGUCCUGAAGGAACGUUGAAGACGACGACGUUGAUAGGCCGGGUGUGUAAGCGCAGCGAUGCGUUGAGCUAACCGGUACUAAUGAACCGUGAGGCUUAACCUUACAACGCCGAAG